This 253-nucleotide ribosomal RNA is filed under the name uncultured bacterium. RNAcentral's name for it is "partial 16S ribosomal RNA". It matches the Rfam family "Bacterial small subunit ribosomal RNA", at positions 524 to 776 of the family's 1533-position model. The record is from RNAcentral.
UACGUAGGGGGCAAGCGUUGUCCGGAUUUAUUGGGCGUAAAGAGCGUGUAGGCGGCCAUACAGGUCAGCUGUGAAAACUCGAGGCUCAACCUCGAGACGUCGGUUGAAACCGUUUGGCUAGAGUACGGAAGAGGAGAGUGGAAUUCCCGGUGUAGCGGUGAAAUGCGCAGAUAUCGGGAAGAACACCCGUGGCGAAGGCGGCUCUCUGGGACGGUACUGACGCUGAGACGCGAAAGCGUGGGGAGCGAACAGG